This is a long non-coding RNA of Metopolophium dirhodum (rose-grain aphid), 389 nucleotides long. RefSeq lists it as uncharacterized. NCBI's taxonomy places the organism in Eukaryota, Metazoa, Arthropoda, Insecta, Hemiptera, Aphididae. The transcript has 3 exons. The record is from RefSeq and is a predicted model, not a curated record.
GUAGAAUUCAAAGAAAAUCAAUGUCAAAGGUUUCGAGAUAAACCACUUUCAAGUUGGAAACGGACCACAUAAAUUGUUGAUAUUUCACGGAAUGCUGGGUCUAUUUAGUCGUUUUGGACCGCUGACGGAAAACAUCGAUGGUGAAAAAUAUAUGAUGUACAUAUGUGAUCCUCCAGGUUACGGUUUGAGUCGACCACCGAACAGAUAUUUUUCACCGUGAUUUUUAGACCGCGACGCAGAUUGUGCCAUUGCGCUUAUGGAGGCGUUGGGUCUUGUCACAUGCCUACCAUGUUUACGGUGUUUCAACUGUUUCAAGAAAAGAAAAAUCAUAAAAAAAUUUCCUGAUGGUAACAAUAAGGGUUUAACUAUACUUAGUGGUAAUAAUAAAC